GACGAACGCUGGCGGCGUGCUUAACACAUGCAAGUCGAACGGAAAGGCCCUGCUUUUGUGGGGUGCUCGAGUGGCGAACGGGUGAGUAACACGUGAGUAACCUGCCCUUGACUUUGGGAUAACUUCAGGAAACUGGGGCUAAUACCGGAUAGGAGCUCCUUCUGCAUGGUGUGGGUUGGAAAGUUUCGGCGGUUGGGGCUGGACUCGCGGCUUAUCAGCUUGUUGGUGGGGUAGUGGCUUACCAAGGCUUUGACGGGUAGCCGGCCUGGGAGGGUGACCGGCCACAUUGGGACAGAGAAAGGGCCCAGACUCAUACGGGAGGAAGCGGUGGGAAAUAUUGCACAAUGGGCGGAAGCCUGAAGCAGCAACUCCGCGUGCGGGAUGACGGCCUUCGGGUUGGAAACCGCUUUCGCCUGUGACGAAGCGUGAGUGACGGUAAUGGGUAAAGAAGCACCGGCUAACUACGUG
This 468-nucleotide ribosomal RNA is filed under the name uncultured bacterium. RNAcentral's name for it is "partial 16S ribosomal RNA". It matches the Rfam family "Bacterial small subunit ribosomal RNA", at positions 28 to 507 of the family's 1533-position model. The record is from RNAcentral.